This 854-nucleotide ribosomal RNA is filed under the name Pseudomonas azotoformans. RNAcentral describes it as "bacterial SSU rRNA". It matches the Rfam family "Bacterial small subunit ribosomal RNA", at positions 21 to 871 of the family's 1533-position model. Lineage: Bacteria; Pseudomonadati; Pseudomonadota; Gammaproteobacteria; Pseudomonadales; Pseudomonadaceae. The record is from RNAcentral.
CCCGUAGAUUGAACGCUGGCGGCAGGCCUAACACAUGCAAGUCGAGCGGUAGAGAGAAGCUUGCUUCUCUUGAGAGCGGCGGACGGGUGAGUAAUGCCUAGGAAUCUGCCUGGUAGUGGGGGAUAACGUUCGGAAACGGACGCUAAUACCGCAUACGUCCUACGGGAGAAAGCAGGGGACCUUCGGGCCUUGCGCUAUCAGAUGAGCCUAGGUCGGAUUAGCUAGUUGGUGAGGUAAUGGCUCACCAAGGCGACGAUCCGUAACUGGUCUGAGAGGAUGAUCAGUCACACUGGAACUGAGACACGGUCCAGACUCCUACGGGAGGCAGCAGUGGGGAAUAUUGGACAAUGGGCGAAAGCCUGAUCCAGCCAUGCCGCGUGUGUGAAGAAGGUCUUCGGAUUGUAAAGCACUUUAAGUUGGGAGGAAGGGUUGUAGAUUAAUACUCUGCAAUUUUGACGUUACCGACAGAAUAAGCACCGGCUAACUCUGUGCCAGCAGCCGCGGUAAUACAGAGGGUGCAAGCGUUAAUCGGAAUUACUGGGCGUAAAGCGCGCGUAGGUGGUUUGUUAAGUUGGAUGUGAAAUCCCCGGGCUCAACCUGGGAACUGCAUUCAAAACUGACUGACUAGAGUAUGGUAGAGGGUGGUGGAAUUUCCUGUGUAGCGGUGAAAUGCGUAGAUAUAGGAAGGAACACCAGUGGCGAAGGCGACCACCUGGACUAAUACUGACACUGAGGUGCGAAAGCGUGGGGAGCAAACAGGAUUAGAUACCCUGGUAGUCCACGCCGUAAACGAUGUCAACUAGCCGUUGGAAGCCUUGAGCUUUUAGUGGCGCAGCUAACGCAUUAAGUGACCG